GUGAGGAAUAUUGGUCAAUGGGCGCGAGCCUGAACCAGCCAAGUAGCGUGAGGGAUGACUGCCCUAUGGGUUGUAAACCUCUUUUGCAGGGGGGUAAAGUGGUUCACGUGUGGACCAUUGCAAGUACCCUGCGAAUAAGGAUCGGCUAACUCCGUGCCAGCAGCCGCGGUAAUACGGAGGAUCCGAGCGUUAUCCGGAUGUAUUGGGUUUAAAGGAGCGUAGGCGGGGGUUUAAGUCAGCUGUGAAAUGCCGUGGCCCAACCAUGGAACUGCAGUUGAAACUGGACCUCUUGAGAGUACAUAAGGAAGGCGGAAUUCGUGGUGUAGCGGUGAAAUGCAUAGAUAUCACGAAGAACUCCGAUUGCGAAGGCAGCUUUCCGGGGUACAUCUGACGCUGAAGCUCGAAAGUGCGGGAAUCAAACAGGAUUAGAAACCCCUGUAGUCC
This 444-nucleotide ribosomal RNA is filed under the name uncultured bacterium. RNAcentral's name for it is "partial 16S ribosomal RNA". It matches the Rfam family "Bacterial small subunit ribosomal RNA", at positions 354 to 796 of the family's 1533-position model. The record is from RNAcentral.